This 500-nucleotide ribosomal RNA is filed under the name uncultured bacterium. Its description in RNAcentral is "partial 16S ribosomal RNA". It matches the Rfam family "Bacterial small subunit ribosomal RNA", at positions 30 to 523 of the family's 1533-position model. The record is from RNAcentral.
AUUGAACGCUGGCGGCAUGCCUUACACAUGCAAGUCGAACGGCAGCACGGGAGCAAUCCUGGUGGCGAGUGGCGAACGGGUGAGUAAAGUAUCGGAACGUGCCCAGUCGUGGGGGAUAACGUAGCGUAAGUUACGCUAAUACCGCAUACGAUCUAUGGAUGAAAGCGGGGGAUGGCAAGACCUCGCGCGAUUGGAGCGGCCGAUAUCAGAUUAGGUAGUUGGUGGGGUAAAGGCUCACCAAGCCGACGAUCUGUAGCUGGUCUGAGAGGACGACCCGCCACACUGGGACUGAGACACGGCCCAGGCGCCUACGGGAGGCAGCAGUGGGGAAUUUUGGACAAUGGGCGAAAGCCUGAUCCAGCCAUGCCGCGUGCAGGAUGAAGGCCUUCGGGUUGUAAACUGCUUUUGUACGGAACGAAAAGGUUUGGGCUAAUAAGCUGAGCUCAUGACGGUACCGUAAGAAUAAGCACCGGCUAACUACGUGCCAGCCGCCGCGGUAA